Molecule: transfer RNA, 67 nt
Filed under: Gonopsimorpha nigrosignata
Lineage: Eukaryota; Metazoa; Arthropoda; Insecta; Hemiptera; Pentatomidae
Description: tRNA-Phe
Rfam family: tRNA
About the family: Transfer RNA (tRNA) molecules are approximately 80 nucleotides in length. Their secondary structure includes four short double-helical elements and three loops (D, anti-codon, and T loops).
Source: RNAcentral
ACUUGAAUAUCUUAAAGUUAAAAGUUUAACUCUGAAGAAGUUAAUAUAGGUUAUAACCUUUCAAGUG